GUGAUUGGCAGCAUGUUUUUUCGAUUUCUUGGAUGUGGGACUAGGAGCGCAGCUUGCAGCAUCACAUAGAGGGCUGGAUCUAUUGAUUGAAACAGGGCUAUAACGUUCACUUGCAGCACAUGAUGAAGUUUUGAAUGAUGAAGAAGUUCAUAGCAAUAACCCGUGGUUUGGUACCGAGAACCGCUUGAUCCUGGCAGCGGUGAGAGGACCGGAAAGACAAUAAGACUGCACUAGGAAACUCUGUCUGUUUGUUACCUUAUGGAUGUAUACAUGGUGCAUGCAGAAAAGUGAAGGAGCAUUGGCUUGAAGUUUUGAAGAAGGAAGUUUAGGAUUAGGAACAAAAGACUUAAACAAAAAACAUUAGUUUUGUUGUAAGUUAUGUAACUUGUAUGAAAAUGGAUUUUUGUAAUGAAAUGUAAAUGGAUUUUGAAUUGUAUUUGAGAUGUUUGGAUGUUUGAAUCUUUUUGCAACCCUUUUUUUGGCAAAGUUUUGGAUGGAGGUGUGAAUUGGAAUUGAAUUCUAAUG
This is a long non-coding RNA of Vicia villosa (hairy vetch), 525 nucleotides long. RefSeq lists it as uncharacterized. NCBI's taxonomy places the organism in Eukaryota, Viridiplantae, Streptophyta, Magnoliopsida, Fabales, Fabaceae. The record is from RefSeq and is a predicted model, not a curated record. The transcript is spliced from 3 exons.